This 30-nucleotide non-coding RNA is filed under the name Homo sapiens (human). The record is from RNAcentral. Lineage: Eukaryota; Metazoa; Chordata; Mammalia; Primates; Hominidae.
UGAGAAGUGGCUCAUCUGAGAUGGGUGUGG